GGGGGAAUAUUGGACAAUGGGCGCAAGCCUGAUCCAGCCAUGCCGCGUGUGUGAAGAAGGCCUUUUGGUUGUAAAGCACUUUAAGCGAGGAGGAGGCUACUUGGAUGAAUACUCUAGGAUAGUGGACGUUACUCGCAGAAUAAGCACCGGCGAACUCUGUGCCAGCAGCCGCGGUAAUACAGAGGGUGCGAGCGUUAAUCGGAUUUACUGGGCGUAAAGCGUGCGUAGGCGGCUUCUUAAGUCGGAUGUGAAAUCCCUGAGCUUAACUUAGGAAUUGCAUUCGAUACUGGGAAGCUAGAGUAUGGGAGAGGAUGGUAGAAUUCCAGGUGUAGCGGUGAAAUGCGUAGAGAUCUGGAGGAAUACCGAUGGCGAAGGCAGCCAUCUGGCCUAAUACUGACGCUGAGGUACGAAAGCAUGGGGAGCAAACAGG
This 430-nucleotide ribosomal RNA is filed under the name Bacillota bacterium. Its description in RNAcentral is "Firmicutes bacterium partial 16S ribosomal RNA". It matches the Rfam family "Bacterial small subunit ribosomal RNA", at positions 355 to 776 of the family's 1533-position model. The record is from RNAcentral. Lineage: Bacteria; Bacillati; Bacillota.